RNAcentral lists this ribosomal RNA (658 nucleotides) under Gelyelloida sp. DZMB664. RNAcentral describes it as "eukaryotic LSU rRNA". It matches the Rfam family "Eukaryotic large subunit ribosomal RNA", at positions 63 to 743 of the family's 3401-position model. Lineage: Eukaryota; Metazoa; Arthropoda; Copepoda; Gelyelloida. The record is from RNAcentral.
AACUAACAGGGAUUGCUCUAGUAACGGCGAGUGAAGCAGCAAUAGCUCAAAUUUGAAAUCUGGCGUCUUCGACGUCCGAGUUGUAAUUUGUAGAGGAUGCUUCUGAGUGGCCACCGACCUAAGUUCCUUGGAACAGGACGUCAUAGAGGGUGAGAAUCCCGUAUGCGGUCGGAAAGGCGCUCUAUACGUAGCUCCUUCGACGAGUCGAGUUGUUUGGGAAUGCAGCUCUAAAUGGGAGGUAAAUUUCUUCUAAAGCUAAAUAUUGGCCAGAGACCGAUAGCGCACAAGUAGAGUGAUCGAAAGAUGAAAAGCACUUUGGAAAGAGAGUUAAAAAGCACGUGAAAUUGUUAAAAGGGAAGGGAUUGCAACCAGACUUGCUCGCGGUGUUCCGCCGGUCUUCUGACCGGUCUACUCGCCGCGUUGCAGGCCAGCAUCGUCUGGUGCCGCUGGAUAAGACUUGAGGAAUGUAGCUCCCUCGGGAGUGUUAUAGCCUCUUGUGAUGCAGCGAGCGCCGGGCGAGGUCCGCGCUUCGGCUAGGAUGCUGGCGUAAUGGUCGUAAUCCGCCCGUCUUGAAACACGGACCAAGGAGUCUAACAUCUAUGCGAGUGUUCGGGUGUCAAACCCCUACGCGUAAUGAAAGUGAACGGAGGUGAGAACC